RNAcentral lists this ribosomal RNA (515 nucleotides) under uncultured bacterium. Its description in RNAcentral is "partial 16S ribosomal RNA". It matches the Rfam family "Bacterial small subunit ribosomal RNA", at positions 28 to 523 of the family's 1533-position model. The record is from RNAcentral.
GAUGAACGCUGGCGGCGUGCCUAAUACAUGCAAGUCGAGCGAAUGGAUUAAGAGCUUGCUCUUAUGAAGUUAGCGGCGGACGGGUGAGUAACACGUGGGUAACCUGCCCAUAAGACUGGGAUAACUCCGGGAAACCGGGGCUAAUACCGGAUAACAUUUUGAACCGCAUGGUUCGAAAUUGAAAGGCGGCUUCGGCUGUCACUUAUGGAUGGACCCGCGUCGCAUUAGCUAGUUGGUGAGGUAACGGCUCACCAAGGCAACGAUGCGUAGCCGACCUGGGAGGGUGCUCGGCCACACUGGGACUGAGACACGGCCCAGACUCCUACGGGGGGCAGCAGUAGGGAAUCUUCCGCAAUGGACGAAAGUCUGACGGAGCAACGCCGCGUGAGUGAUGAAGGCUUUCGGGUCGUAAAACUCUGUUGUUAGGGAAGAACAAGUGCUAGUUGAAUAAGCUGGCACCUUGACGGUACCUAACCAGAAAGCCACGGCUAACUACGUGCCAGCCGCCGCAGUAA